GGAGGAGUGGCAGAGCGGUUGAAUGCGCCGGUCUUGAAAACCGGUAGGCCCGCAAGGGUCUCAUGAGUUCGAAUCUCAUCUCCUCCG
RNAcentral lists this transfer RNA (87 nucleotides) under Phycisphaerae bacterium. RNAcentral's name for it is "tRNA-Ser". It matches the Rfam family "tRNA". From Rfam's summary of the family: Transfer RNA (tRNA) molecules are approximately 80 nucleotides in length. Their secondary structure includes four short double-helical elements and three loops (D, anti-codon, and T loops). The record is from RNAcentral. RNAcentral also lists the same sequence under 1 other name. Lineage: Bacteria; Pseudomonadati; Planctomycetota; Phycisphaerae.